AGGAGUCUAACAUCUGUGCAAGUUCGUGGGUGUGCAAACUUGAAGACAUAAUAAAGCAAACGCUGGUAACCUCGCUCCAGCAUGUAACCAAUUCAGAGCAACAAGUUUGAGUUAGAACAUAGGUGUUGGGACCCGAAAGAUGGUGAACUAUGCUUGAAUAAAGUGAAUUCAGGGGAAACUCUGGUGGAGGCUUGUAGCGGUUCUGACGUGCAAAUCGUUCGUCGUAUUUGGGUAUAGGGGCGAAAGACUAAUCGAACCAUCUAGUAGCUGGUUCCCGC
RNAcentral lists this unclassified non-coding RNA (278 nucleotides) under uncultured fungus. RNAcentral describes it as "partial contains 5.8S rRNA, ITS2 and 28S rRNA". It matches the Rfam family "Eukaryotic large subunit ribosomal RNA", at positions 669 to 961 of the family's 3401-position model. Lineage: Eukaryota; Fungi. The record is from RNAcentral.